CAGAGUUGCAAAACUCCCACAACCCUUGUGAACAUACCACUGUCGUUGCUUCGGCGGGCAGCCCCUGGGAGGGGCCUCGCCUCCUCGUGAGGUGCCCGCCGGAGGACCAACACAAACUCUUGUUUUAAUCGUCUCUCUGAGAAAACUUUUAAAUAAGUAA
Molecule: unclassified non-coding RNA, 160 nt
Filed under: uncultured Sordariales
Lineage: Eukaryota; Fungi; Ascomycota; Sordariomycetes; Sordariales
Description: sequence contains ITS1
Source: RNAcentral